Long non-coding RNA from Herpailurus yagouaroundi (jaguarundi), 829 nucleotides. RefSeq lists it as uncharacterized. The record is from RefSeq and is a predicted model, not a curated record. Lineage: Eukaryota; Metazoa; Chordata; Mammalia; Carnivora; Felidae. The transcript has 3 exons.
GAGAUCGCCACCUACAGGCGGCUGCUGGAGGGCGAGGAGCAGAGGCUGUGCGAGGGCGUCGGCGCUGUGAAUGUCUGUGUCAGCAGCUCCCGCGGUGGCGUCGUCUGUGGCGAUCUCUGCGCCUCAGGUGCUGCCCCUGCUGUCACCAGCCGCGUCUGCAGCGCCCCCUGCAGCGGUAACGUGGUGGUGGGCACCAACUCGUGCGGGGCCUGCAGCGUGGGCUGUAAGAAGUGCUAAGAGGCCGCGGCGCCCCUGCUAGCGCGCAGCCACGUCCCCCUCCGCCCGGCCCGACCCCGAUCGCCCCGCCGCUGCCCCACGACCGCCAGCUGCCCGCCCCCAACAACCAGUCGCCAGGUGUGCACCCUCGGCACGUCUUCCCUGGGUGCUCCCUCUGCGCGCCCCCCCCCCCCCCCCGGGCGCCCUGAGCCCUGUGCACCUGGGGCGGCACCUUGGCCUCUUUCCGUAGCCUUUCCUAGUAGUGGAUUUAUCAUCUUGAGGAUUCAUCCUUUCUUCUGCCUUCUGUGUUGUUUGCUGGAUUCAUUCGUCCUGCCCGACUCCCUCACCUAAGCUUGCGGGACAGGGCAGGCCCUAGACUCUCCCUGUCUCCACUUCCUGGGAAUCUGCCAGUGCGCUGGAUCCUGUGGGAGGGAGGUGGGGAACACUGACGGUGGUUUUCCUGUAACUCUGUGAGGCCCAUGGCUGUGGGAGGGAAGAGCAUCUCCUUGCAGGGCUGCCUGCAGAAGCUUCUGAAAACCCAGCGACGUAACUGCCAGCCCCUUUGUCUUCGUUUCACUCUGUGUUUCCAAUAAACUAACUGUAGCGUAUCAAA